ACCCCAACCCAGGCCGGGCCCGAGGCCUCGUCCCCGUCCCCGGACAAGGCCGGAGCCGGGCCCGGGGCGGCGGCGGGGGCCCCCCAGCCCCACAGGGGAUCCGGGGGGCCGGGGCGAGGGAGGGCGUAUAAUAAACAGCAUCGCUGUCACGCAGGCAGGGCUGCCGGCUCCCAAAGCCUCCUCCCCGCGAUAACAAUCCAGAUAUUGAUGUGGUUUCGAUUACACUUCAAAAGUUACUGAACAUUUCUUUUCAACCCACUCUCAGCCUUCACAGCUAAAGAAAAGCACAAGCUAAUGGGACAAGUUCAUUCUGAUUCUCGGUAUAUAAUCAGGCUUCGUUUCAUAAAAUAAGUUUGUGAUCAUCUAUGCACUUUUGAAGCCCUCAGGGACCUAUGCUCACUUGCAAUUGCAACGUCCUAACAGGUUUAAAACAAUACAGUAAGAGGAUGGGCAAUAGGAGUGUUUGUGAUUACCCAAUGAUAUGGAAGUAUAACUGUAUCAAACCUCACUCUAUGUUAAAUGGAAUCUAGUCUGACAGCACUCUGGCUUGGGAACCAAAUUAAAAAGGAAAUAAAUAUUGAAGAUCCUGUCAGGACUGAGCCUGGGAUCUUGGCUCACACUAGCAAGCAAGUCUGGCUCUCCGCACUUGCUGAGCACUGCACGUGCCGACACCAGUAAAAUGGCAGCCCCAGAACCACUUAGCAUCAGUAAUGCACGGGUCAGCACCCUCGCUUGUUUCUGUCAUCCAAGAAAAACCCUCCCCUUCUCUGCACAAAAGUGAUUCCUUGCUUUGUAAAUGGCUUUUUGUCAAGAUACUACCGUCCCAUGAAGAGCACCAGAGCUUCGCUGCUUUGCUCUGCAGAUUACCUACAAAAUGGUGGCACUGAUACUAUAUUACAGGAACAUCUUUUGGAACCAAGACUAGAUACUCCUAUCAAUUUAAAAUGCAAGUUUGGAGGAAAAAAAGAAAGAGGAUUUACAUGUACAAAAACACGUGAGAGAAGCUUUCAUUACAUAGAAUGUAACAGACACCACUUCUCAUUUCAUUCACUGAGGACUUCUAGCAAUAAGCAACAUCUGCUAUCGUCAGCCCACCUAAUUUUCCCAAAGAAAGCUAGCACAUCGUCCUUUUUUUUUUUUUUUUUUUUUUUUGGUCAGACAACUUUUGCCAAUUUCCUUAGGUAUAUACUCCAUGGAUAAAUAGAUCUGUCUGACAUUUUUGUUAUGAUUUAAAGCAAGUUCUCAAUUUAAAUUUCAUCCAACUUACAACCCAACUGUGUGAAUCUGCAUCACACUAAAUAUUUGUUCUUUAUACCUAUCCCAUAUACACUUGUAGAAUUCCACCCUGUAUGUUUAACCCUCCUGACUCUUUUUCCAUAGCACAGACUUCAGUUUUUGCUACUUUGUUGAGCUCCCUGCAGUUUAUGAGAACUAAAAUAUAUUUCAGUAUACUCCAAGUAUAAUCACCAAAGGUGUUGGGCUGCUCCAGAUGGAGUAAAUUCAUAAAAUACUCGUUGAAGACUUAGCCAUACAAUUAAGCUUAAACUGCAUGUUGAUAUUAUAUGAUAAGAGUUUAGAUUAAGCACCUUUUUUUUUUUUUCUUGAAAAUUUCAACCUAUUCCAAGUUGAGUAAAGGCCUGAAUCCCACCUGCCUGUAGGGAGGCAUUAGGAGGGCCCCUGAGGCAUCUUCAGGGAAGGGCUUCGGCCAUUUUCUUCUUCCUGACACUUCAAGAGGAGAAGGUACAGCUGGAGGAGGGACAGAACAUGGAAACCCUUCACUGCGAGUUAGUAGAGUUGGGAGGACACAGAGGGCAUGGGGAAGACAUUCACCAAGCGGCAGUGCCCUUAAAUGCCUGUACCUGCGUACCCAGGUCUGACAGUGAGGCCCACCUGAGGGUUACUCUGGACAAAGUAGACUUGGCCCGCGUUUCAACCUGCACGUGGCCAGCCCUGUGGCCUGCCAUGUUUUCUUCUGCCACGUGUUUAAGGUCCUCAGUUGUGGUGGAGGUCAAAGCUGUCCUGCUACACUACACACUGACAGACAGACACACUGCUGAGACUACUCCUUCACGGCAGUCUUUGAAAGCCUGAGCCCUUGAACAAAAGAUUUUCCAUUCAUAUGAAAUUUCUGCCCACUGCAAGCAUAUUUGUUUUUUUGCAAAUUCUGCUGUUUCUACACCAAAGUUUAAAAAUGCUUGAGACUAAAGUAAAUCUAUAAAGUUAUUAAAAUAAGGGAAAGGUGCCUAUAAGACGCAUACACUUUUUCCAGUCAUAUCUCACAAAAAAAAAAAAAUUCUUACAAAGUAACAGUGUCACUAGAGUCGUUUAAUAAACACAAUAAAUAGCAAAAAACAUUUCUCAUGAGAAGAAAAAAGGCCUUGCUGUUUGCUGUAUCCAGAAAACAUCUGACGUUUUGCAUAUUUUGAGCUUUCAAUUAAGUAGAGAAAAAUUUGGUGUGGAUGUGACAGAGUAAACAGCACUGACCAAAUAGCUCCAACCUUCCCCAUUAAAAAACAUGUUUAAAUGCUAGCCCUAGAUGAUUCAUUUGGCAAAGUGCUUAUUAGUAAAAUAAUUUAGCAAAAUUCUUGUCUCCUGCGUAAGAGACUAACGAGGAUAGAGAUGGGAAAGACAGAGAUGGGCCGCAACUUGCCUUUCCCAGCUCCACUACACAUGAGGUUACACCUAAAUCCAUGAUGGCUCCUCAAUAAGUGGGCUGGUUUUUGUUCAUGCUGAACAUGUAUGCUCUUACUGAGCUCUGGAGGUAUGAGAACUUUUGAGAAUACCCAGACAAAAAGCUUUGUUCCAGAGGCCAAGCCUGAAUUUAGGAGUUUAACUUAACACCUAUUGUGCUGAAAAUGUUGGCUGGUGCUGAUACCACUAAACUCCCACUUAGAUCUUCUCUGUGGGGAGACUAUGUUAUGAUUUUUACUGUUAAAGAACACAAAGGCCACAAGUUUGAAUACAGUUUCUAGACAAGACCACAGAAUACAUCCCAUUAAUUACCAGAAUCCUUAUGUGUAUAUCCAUAUUGUUUAUUUGGGGUCCGAUACCAAAACCUGACCUCCUUUUAAACAGUCACAGCCUGAGAACACAAGUAAGCAGAGUAUUUACAACCCAGGUUCUGCAGCAAGUUACAUUACCUCAUUACUGUCUCCCUCUGUGGAGCUUAAUAAAGCAAGUUUUGGCUAGAACUGGACUGAAUCUCUCUCUUGCGGGUGCAGUCUACCACCUGCAGCUGAAAAUGUUUAAUUGUCCUUGUAAUAAUUGACGAAAACAUCUUCAAAACUGGCCAAAAAGCGGUGGGGCGGAGUGAAACAGCUCAGUAAGAUGGAAUUGAAAUUAGCCAAUACUUCCAUGCGAUGGUACCACACAGUCAAAUCAACCGCGAUGUGGAUUUAAAAGUUUUAGCCGGCUACUGAAUUACAGGCCACUAGUCCACAUGCCGCUCACAACUUUAUUAAGAACUUUUAGUAACUGAGAACAGUCCAAAGCACGAGUAGUUGUGAUAAGAGACGGAAUUAAGUAAAGACUCAAAAUCCUACAGCCAAUUGUGGCUAAGCGGCAGCUUUAGCAGCUAAUAGAGAGGUGCUUUGGACAGUCUCGGGCAAUGCAGCUAGGUGAGUAAGCAGAACGGAGACAUUUCUGAGAAAGGCGGCACACUAACGAGGCCAAACUUCAAUCACAGCAUAACUUGCGGGAUGAAAAUCACUCUUCAUGCAUGUCACUUACCCUAAAGGGCCCCUUAGGGCAACUCUUGUUAAUGGCACUGUCAAAAUAAUUAUAAGAAGAGAGUGCACGUGUGUGUGUGUGCGCACACGAACUGUUACUCUUUAAACAAAAAGCACUGGACAGUAAAGCUCAAUUUUGCUAUUCAACAAUGUGCUUGCAGAUACAUUAGCUUGCAAUGCAAUUAAUCUCGCUUGUUAACAACAGGUGUGUGUUGACAGACAGCUUGGUCAAACUGGGGAAUAUAUUUAGCUCCUCUUUUCUUUUACUGUUCAAUUAGGAAAAGAAAAUGAGAAAUACAAAUUCAGGAAUGAAAAAUGUCACCCUAUCAUUAUCUUACAGUUAUUUACUUUUGACCCUGAAAUAAAUUAUAGUGCUACAAUU
Long non-coding RNA from Oxyura jamaicensis (ruddy duck), 4110 nucleotides. RefSeq lists it as uncharacterized. The record is from RefSeq and is a predicted model, not a curated record. Lineage: Eukaryota; Metazoa; Chordata; Aves; Anseriformes; Anatidae. The transcript has 2 exons.